UCCCUGGUGGCUCAGAGGUUAAAGCGUCUGCCUGCAAUGAAGGAGACCUGGGUUCGAUCCCUGGGUUGGGAA
This 72-nucleotide transfer RNA is filed under the name Bos taurus (domestic cattle). It matches the Rfam family "tRNA". Rfam says of the family: Transfer RNA (tRNA) molecules are approximately 80 nucleotides in length. Their secondary structure includes four short double-helical elements and three loops (D, anti-codon, and T loops). RNAcentral also lists the same sequence under 5 other names. Lineage: Eukaryota; Metazoa; Chordata; Mammalia; Artiodactyla; Bovidae. The record is from Rfam by way of RNAcentral.